GAAUUUGAUCGUGGCUCAGAAUCAACGCUGGCGGCGUGCCUAACACAUGCAAGUCGAACGCGAAAGCCCCGCAAGGGGUCAGUAGAGUGGCAAACGGGUGAGUAACACGUGGGUGAUCUGCCCUGCACUUUGGGAUAAGCCUGGGAAACUGGGUCUAAUACCGAAUAGGACUCCGGACUGCAUGGUCUGGGGUGGAAAGCUUUUGCGGUGUGGGGUGGGCCCGCGGCCUAUCAGCUUGUUGGUGGGGUGAUGGCCUACCAAGGCGACGACGGGUAGCCGGCCUGAGAGGGUGACCGGCCACACUGGGACUGAGAUACGGCCCAGACUCCUACGGGAGGCAGCAGUGGGGAAUAUUGCACAAUGGGCGCAAGCCUGAUGCAGCGACGCCGCGUGAGGGAUGACGGCCUUCGGUUGUAACCUACUUCUACGCACAGACGAAGACGCAAGUGACGGUACGUGCAGAAGAAGGACCGG
Molecule: ribosomal RNA, 474 nt
Filed under: uncultured Actinomycetes bacterium
Lineage: Bacteria; Bacillati; Actinomycetota; Actinomycetes
Description: bacterial SSU rRNA
Rfam family: Bacterial small subunit ribosomal RNA
Source: RNAcentral